GGUAAGGUGGCUGAAUUAAGUGGUGGGUUGUAGCCCCAUAAAUAGAGGUUCGAGUCCUCUCCUUAUCA
RNAcentral lists this transfer RNA (68 nucleotides) under Chaenophryne sp. CLS4E. Its description in RNAcentral is "tRNA-Tyr". It matches the Rfam family "tRNA". Rfam says of the family: Transfer RNA (tRNA) molecules are approximately 80 nucleotides in length. Lineage: Eukaryota; Metazoa; Chordata; Actinopteri; Lophiiformes; Oneirodidae. The record is from RNAcentral.